GAUGAAGAACGCAGCGAAAUGCGAUAAGUAGUGUGAAUUGCAGAAUUCAGUGAAUCAUCGAAUCUUUGAACGCACAUUGCGCCCCUCGGUAUUCCGUGGGGCAUGCCUGUUCGAGCGUCAUCUACACCCUCAAGCUCUGCUUGGUGUUGGGCGUCUGUCCCGCCUCCGCGCGUGGACUCGCCCCAAAUUCAUUGGCAGCGGUCCUUGCCUCCUCUCGCGCAGCACAUUGCGCUUCUCGAGGGGCUACGGCUCGCGUCCAACAAGCACAUUUACCGUCUUUGACCUCGGAUCAGGUAGGGACACCCGCUGAACUUAAGCAUAUCAAUAAGCGGAGGA
Molecule: unclassified non-coding RNA, 336 nt
Filed under: soil metagenome
Description: partial contains 5.8S ribosomal RNA, internal transcribed spacer 2, and large subunit ribosomal RNA
Rfam family: 5.8S ribosomal RNA (bases 1-120)
Source: RNAcentral